This is a long non-coding RNA of Drosophila miranda, 602 nucleotides long. RefSeq lists it as uncharacterized. The transcript has 2 exons. Lineage: Eukaryota; Metazoa; Arthropoda; Insecta; Diptera; Drosophilidae. The record is from RefSeq and is a predicted model, not a curated record.
UUUAAUACAUUUCAGUUAGACUUACGACUCCUUCCCCUACGUUUGGGAGCUCCACAUUUUAUAUUUUUCGUGCUUAAAUUUCACACUAAAAGAUAGACAAAUUUUUUAGAAAUUUUUCAGAACCGUGAAGAAAUACACUCGGACACCUGCAGUUUCUGCCGCUGCUUAAGCUCGUUUUGCAAAUUAGAGGACAGCGAGGCGAUUAUGGAGGAGCUCCCACAAGAGCCAGUAUGCGAUGUAGCAGGAUACGAAUUGUUGAGCGCCGCCGCUACAAACACAGCAGGGAUACAACUGCAUCCAGGUGAUGGCCAUCAUGGACCAUCAUGCCUCGAAGAAUGUACAGGAUGUACAGGUACAGGAUCCUAGGUUUGGCGGCCACAACCGCAUCGAUGGCAAUGUCAAGCAUCGCUCCGACCCGGAGGGAUACGCAGGUGGUUCCAACUUCAUUGAGGCGCUACAAUCCACACACGCACACACAUAUGCAGAGAGAGCAAAAAAAAGGGGAAAAGGUUGAAUUUCGAUUGGGGAUUGGGGAAUCGGGGAAAAAUUGGGAGAAUUUUGAAUACUUGGCCAAAAUUUAACAAUUUUUCAGUCUAAUAUCU